This 375-nucleotide ribosomal RNA is filed under the name uncultured bacterium. RNAcentral's name for it is "bacterial SSU rRNA". It matches the Rfam family "Bacterial small subunit ribosomal RNA", at positions 523 to 898 of the family's 1533-position model. The record is from RNAcentral.
ACACGUAGGGGGCGAGCGUUGUCCGGAAUUACUGGGCGUAAAGCGCGCGCAGGCGGCCUGUUAAGUCAGGUGUCAAAAUGCGGAGCUCAACUCCGCAUCGCACUUGAAACUGGCCGGCUUGAGUGCAGGAGAGGAAAGUGGAAUUCCUAGUGUAGCGGUGAAAUGCGUAGAUAUUAGGAGGAACACCAGUGGCGAAGGCGACUUUCUGGACUGCAACUGACGCUGAGGCGCGAAAGCUAGGGGAGCGAACAGGAUUAGAUACCCUGGUAGUCCUAGCCGUAAACGAUGGGUACUAGGUGUUGGGGGUGACAAUCCUCCAGUGCCGCAGUUAACGCAUUAAGUACCCCGCCUGGGGAGUACGGCCGCAAGGCUGAA